RNAcentral lists this long non-coding RNA (292 nucleotides) under Brassica napus (rape). RNAcentral's name for it is "long non-coding RNA (BNAP_LNC016632)". Lineage: Eukaryota; Viridiplantae; Streptophyta; Magnoliopsida; Brassicales; Brassicaceae. The record is from RNAcentral.
UUCUAUGCAUAGCUGAUAAAACAUUUACAUUGGUCCCUAGAUUUUAAAUGUUAUACGUCACAUGACCUUCAAAUUGUGAAAGAAUUAUAAAAAUUAACCUAAAAAUGUUAAUGGCUUCCUGAAUCUCAUAACCAGCUCUGCUUGUAAUUAAGGUUAACAUUAUUUAGUUGAAAGGUCAAAACAUACAACAAUAUAAGCUCUCGACAUAGUUGUCCAUGACUACGAGGACGAUAAUGCCUAACACACUCUCUAUUAACCUAUUUCAGAAAGUUCCUUUUAUGUUUAUUUUUAG